Non-coding RNA from Peromyscus maniculatus bairdii (prairie deer mouse), 6069 nucleotides. The record is from RefSeq and is a predicted model, not a curated record. NCBI's taxonomy places the organism in Eukaryota, Metazoa, Chordata, Mammalia, Rodentia, Cricetidae.
GUUUAUUCUAGGCUCGGGCUGGGGAGGUACGAGGGAAAGUGGGUCAGCGCCGGCCGCGACAGGACUGUGGCUCGGGCGACAGGGCUCCUGUUCGCUGAUGCCUCCCAAGCAGACAGAAUUGCAAUUUCAAAUAUUACCAAAGGUGUAACAAGAAGAAACCCUCACCAGCUUCACUGGCAGCACAGAACAAGCCUCCUUUCACCGACAUCUGUAUUUACACACCUUCAGAAGCAAAUCCCCGGACAUCUCACCGUGGAGUGGCCUUUGUGUCUCCUGCUCUGAGUGUCCUGCAUCCUUGCAAGUUUCGUCUGGCCUCUAGCAGAGACCCUUGGGAAGUUCCUGGUCACCACAUCCACUGAAUCCCACUGCAUCAACUGAUGUUCUGCCCUUUGGUGAAUGGAGAGGGGAGACAGACUGCUGCUUCUCCCACCAAGGCUAGCAGAGUCUCUGCUGUCUCCACUAAGAAGAGGAUUCCAGUCCCUCCCCUUGCACCUGAGUGAGCUGGUGACUGUAGAUUUGCUGGACAGCCUGUCCCAGAGGUGGGACAGAGGGAGCGAAAGGAAAGAACCAUGUGUCAUUCACUUCUGGAUAAUGACAUUUUCCAGGGUCAUUUCCCUGAGAGAAAAGGAGGUUGAAGAGGGUGUCCUUGGGUCUCCUCCCUUCAAAAAGACCUCAGGUCGUGGGACCCAGAGUGUGGUUCAUAGAAGAGCUGAGGUUCUGGAACCUUUGGGCCUUGGGAGAUGUUUGUGGAGGAUGCCACUUUCAAAACUGCCCACAACAACUUGAGCAUCUUAGUCCCUCACACUGUACAUGACACCACGGUGUGAGGAAGUCCAGGCAACAUAGAGAAGCCAUGAGUCAGUGUUCUGGCGGACAGCCCAGCUCAAGUCCUCAUCACCAACAGUGUUCGAGUGCCACAUAUGUGAGGGAAGAGCCUUCCGCUGGUCCCAGACGGAGAGGAGAAAGCCCACAGAAGCCACAGAGGAUAAUAACCGAUUAGUGCCCUUUUAAAGUUAACCUUUUUGUUUUGAGAUAGUUGUAGCAGGAGUCAACAAGGCUGUGGAGAGUCCCCUAUACCCUCCACCAGUUCUGCCAAGGCUAACAUCCUGCAAAACUACAGGACAGCCAAGAAGUAGUCACCCCCACCCCCACAGCUUCUUCCUGGUACGCUUUUAUGUGACGCCCAUCCUGCCACCCUGCCUGUCCUGCCACCCCUCACACCUUUUCUUUAACUCCUGAUGACCACGACACUACAUGGGGUUGUUUGUUUGUUUGUUUGUUGUUGUUGUUGUUUGCAAUUUUCCAUUUUAAAAGUGGUACCUGGGCGGAAUCACAGUGUGUGGCUAUUCGGAGUUGGCUUCUUUUACUCAGAGUGACUCCCUAGAGACUCAUCCAAAUUACACGUGCAUUAGCUUGUUCUGUUGUGUGGCUUAUCCUUAAGCCUUCACUUGUUGACUAUCUGGGCCGUUUCCACCACGAAUCUCUUAUAAACCAAGCUGUUCAGAGCUCUCAUGUGCAGACGCUCGUGUGAACAAUACAGUCUUCGGCUUUCUGGGAUGAGCGCCACAGUGCAAUUGCUGGGUCAUAUAGUAGUCACGCUCUUCAUUUUAUAAGAUGCCAAACUGUCUCCCAGAGUGCCUGUGCCGUGUCAUAUUUCCUCAGCUCUGUACGCGUCAUCCAUUUCUAGUCCUCUUAGUCAGUGUUUGUUGUUUUUAAUUGUGGUGAAAUAUGUGGGACAGAAAUAAUUUACCGUCUUAGUCACUUCUGAAUGGAGAGCCAGGGUAGCCUGACUCUAGAAGUCUUCCCAUCCUGCCAAUCUGAAACUGUUCUUGUCAAACACAAACUCCUCAUCCUCCCUCCCACCACUGUCUGGCCAACCUCCACUCUACUUCCUGUUGCUAUCAGUUUGACUUCCCCAGGGCCCUCCAAUGAGUGCCAUCCAAUACAUGUCCUUUUAUGACGGGCCUAUUGCACUGAGUACAAUGUCUUCAAGGUUCAUCCCCAUGGUAGUAUGUGUCUGAAUUUCUUUCCUGUUUAGGGUUAAAUAACAUUCCACUGUAUGACUAUACCACAGUUUUUUAAUGGGGCUAUCCACCAAUGGACACUUGUGUUUCUUCCUCAUUUGGGAUAUUGUGGGUAACACUGUUGUGAGCACAGGUAUAAAAAUAGUUACUCAAGAUCCCGCUUUUGGUCUCUAGAAGUACCAUGUUGUGGUUUGACGAAAAAUGGCCCCCAGAGGCCCAUAGGGAGUGGCACUAUUGGGAGUUAUGGCCUUGUUGGAGUCAGCAUGGCUUUGUUGAAGGAAGUGUGUCACUAGGGGGUAGCCUUUGAGGCCUCAGACGCUCAAGCCAGUUCACUUCCUGCUGCUUGUCAAUCCGGAUGUAGGACUCUCAGCUCCUUCUCCAGCACCAUGUCUGCCUGCACGCCGCCAUGCUUCCCACCGUAACGACAGUGGACUAAAUCUCUGAAGCUGUAAACCAGCCCCAGUUAAAUGUUUUCCUUAUCAAAGCUGUCGUGGUCACGGUGUCUCUUCAUAGCAAUAAACACUCUAAACUAAGACACUAGUCCAGAAGUGGGAUUGCUGAUCACGAUGCAUCUUUCAGAUCCUUUUUUUAUGUAUGUAUACGUGUAGGAACAUGUUCAUGUGUGUGCAAGUGUAUGUGUGCUUGAAAAGCGACAUUUUAACUACAGAGCCGUCUCCCCACAGAGCAGUCUUGGUGAGUUUUGAAGAACUGAUUUAUUUUGUUGCACCUGUUGGGUGGUCGGAGGUGUUCUCUUGCUGUGAUUCUGACUGUCCCGUAAGUGCUCGAUGAUGUCAAGCUUUCCCUGGGCUUGCCGCCGUUUGUGUGUGUUUAGUGAGACCUGUAAGCAAGUCCUUCCCCUGCUUCUCAGCUUCUUUUGGCUGUUGCUAUGUUGUAGUAAUUCUUUCUGAAAUUUAUAUAAUAACCCUUUAUCAACCGUGUGACUUGCAGACAACACCCCCCACCCCCACCGCAUCCCGCCCCGGCCUCGGCUCCAUGGGUCUCCUCGCCAUUGCACUGGUUGCAUCCUUUGACACACGAGCUUUCAGUUUCUGUGUGGUCUGACUGCCUCAGUUUUAUGUUAUUGCCUUUGCUUUUAGUGUCAUGCUCAAAAUGUUAUCGUCAAACCCAAGCUCGUGGAACACUUUCCCCUCAUUUUCUUCUAAGAGAUUUAUGUUUUUAGCCCUUGGAGUUUGGCCUCUGACACAUUCGAGCUCAUUGGCCUAUAUUUUAUAAGGUCCACUAUAAAAAAAAAAUCCUCCACCUUCCUUCCUUCCUUCCUUCCUUCCUUCCUUCCUUCCUUCCUUCCUUCCUCCCUCCCUCCCUCCCUCCCUCCCUUCCUCCUUCCCCUGCCUCUCUCCUUUUCUCUUUUUUUCUGUUUAUGACUAUUAGCUUUCUGGCCAUGGUUUGUUAAAGGCCUGUCUUUCCCCAUUGAAGAGUCUUCACACUAUUCCUCAUACACUCUACUGUCUGGAAGGAAAUGUUGCCCCAUGGUAGAACUGAAACUAAAGCCAGUUUUAAAAAGAAAAUUAUUUGACUCAAUAUGGGAGAGUUCCAGGCUUUCUAUUUUAUUCAGGUGGUCCAUGUGUCUGCCUCUCCACCAGCGACACACCGUUUGAAUGCUGUAACUUUGUAAUGAGCUUUCUAAACAGGAAGCACAAGGCCUCUCUCUGGCUUUCUUCUUUUUCAAGAGUGUUCUGGCUACUCGGGGCCUUUUGAGACUCCAUGUGAAUUUUAGGAUGAGCUUUUCUACUUUUGAAGAAACCAUAAUUGGGAUUCUGUAGGAUUAAUUGUAUCCAUGGACUACUUUGUAUAUUUGAACAGGCUCUUGGGAAUGGCUUGUUCUAAAAACCAUGCUCACUGGGGCUACAAGAUAACUGAGGAGUGAGGAUAAAGGCCUGAUGUCUUUGCCUUCACUUUGGUCCUGUUGCCUUUACUUUCAGUCCCCCCCCCCCCCACCUCUGCAAGCACCUUAAUCACUCAAGGAAUGUCCAUCUAGAAGCCAGGAUUACCUAAACUUUCUCAUGCUUCUUUGAGGUGGAAGGAUCAAAGGUCACUGUCCUAACCCCACAGGCACCCAGAGUUCCUGGAAUAGCAAGGCCCCCAAAGCAGGGCAGAGUCUCCCAAGAUGGAGACAGCUGUAUUCCCCGAUGGAGAGUUAACCCUCCCCAUGCCUCAAUGCGAUUGGCAGAUGAGGAGUGUGUCAGGCCAUUUUGUAGGUCAGGAGUUGAGACAAUGAUCAACACGGCCACACUUCAAGCAGGUCUGCUUACUUGUAUAUACCCCUUCACCUUGUCAGAUGCUUCCUCUGUUUAAAACUGAAGCUCACCUGCCUUUAAUCCCAGCACUCGGGAGGCAGAGGCAAGCGGAUCUCUGAGUCCGAGGCCAGCCUGGUCUACAGAGCGAGUUCCAGGGCAGCCAGGGCUACACAGAGAAACCCUGUCUUGAAAGCAAACAGAAAAACACCCCCUAAAAAAGCAAACAAACAAACACAACCCCAAACUUGAAGCUCUUCUUGGUACAAACCUGGGGUCCCCAGACUUCUUUAUCUAAAUCUCCCUUUUCUGUGUCCACCAUGACACCUCUCCUUAACUGAUGCACGCUGCUGGUGGCUGAGCCUAGACUGAUGGAGCUGCCAGAGCCAGGUCUUCUGCCACAACACUCCAGUUACGGCACUGACAUUUGAACAAAUAUUUUCUUUCAAACCAUUUUUUUGGUCAUAUUUAAUUUCUUUCAACAACAUUUUGUAGUUUUCCUUCGACUUGAUUAAAUUUAUUAAGUAUUUUAUUCAUUUUGCCCUUGUCAUAAAUACGGCUCUCUUAUUUUUCAUCAAUUUUCAUCUAUUUGUUCUGUUCUUGAAGGUAGAUAUUAAAACCCCCUGCCAUUUACUAUAGAGUUAUCUGUUUCUCCCUUCAAUUCUGUCAAUAUUUUCUUCAGGUGUCUAGAAGCUCUGCUGUUUGGUGCCCAUAUAUUCAUAAUUUUUACAUCUUCUUGGAAGAUUGUGUGUGUGUGUGUGUGUGUGUGUGUGUGUGUGUGUGUGUGUGUGUCUUUGUGGUGCUAUGAACACGUGCAUGCAGGUGUGACUGCAGGUGUGUGGAGGUCUGAUGUUGAAGCUGAUGCCAAGUGUUUUUCCUGGAUGGCUCUCCACCUUUACAACCCUGAAACUCAUCAGUUUGGUAGGCUGACUGGACAAUUGACUUUAGAGGUCUGCCUGGCCCCUUCACAACACUGGGGUUACAGGCAUGUAAUGACAUGCUUACCUUAAAAAAAAAAAAAAAGCAAAUCAGGUACUCAGGCUGGCAUGGAAGACUUUUAACAACUGGUCUCUGAUCUUUUUUAAUCAAUGUGUAAUUUCCUAUGCCUAGUGUUUGUGGUGUGUGUGUGUGUGUGUGUGUGUGUGUGUGUGUGUGUGUGUGUGUUUGAUCAAAAUUUUCUUUCCUAGUAUGGCGAGCCCAAAUCCUUUUUAAUUACUGUUUCUGUGGAUCACCUUUUUCUAUCCUUCCUUUAAAAAGCAAAAUAUCUUUUAUUUGCUUUUUAACAAUAUCAUACAUGUAAACAACGAGCUUUGAUCAUAUCCACUACCAGCUUCUCCCUUCUACUCCCUCAGACACUCCCAACAUGUUCCUCUCCCAACUUCGAGUCUACCACCCCAUAACCCACUAAGUCCAAUUACUGCUGCCCCUCGGAAUGCUAACGGAGCUUGCUGGCUUGAUCUUCGGGGAACAACAGCUGCCUUGAGUUCAUGAGUGCAAUAGCUCUGUCCUGUCCUGAAAGCAGAACCUCACUGCCUCCUUCCUCAUCUGCUGGCUCUUUUGUUUUUUCUACCCUCUCUCCUCCACCUUUCUUGACCAUUGUGGUGAGUAAAGUUAAUUAAAAUGCCCCGUUUUGGACUGAGAAUUCAAUAGUCACUGGUUCUCAGCACUUGGACCAGUUGGGAAUCUCUGAAUUAAUUGGUCUCCACUGCACAACCCUUCUUCUCAACCUGUUAUUUCCUUAGAUUUUAAUAAAACCAAGCCUCUCACAGGUCAUAGAGUCCAACUCUGCUUUU